AUUAUAGAACGUGGGGAGCAUGAGAAAUACACGGAGGUGGAAACGCCGGAGUGGCUGGCGGGUAAAGGCAGCGGGCGCAGAUGAAGCGGGCUGGGCGUCCCACGCGCAGAACCGUCCCGGACAGAAGCCGCAGGGCUGCGCUGGCUGGAAAAAGGAACGCGAGUACAGCGCGCGUGGCGCGGGGUCUGCUCCAGGACGGAAUCUUUUGGGUGGCCCGCAUGAGGGGUUUGCAGGACCCCGGGCCUUUGGGAAGUUAUCUGCUAAACUCCAGUAGACCCUGAGGAGCAGCGGCUCAUGAAUCUUCUUAAACUUCUGUCAUCAGCGGCUGGGCCAGCUGAAGGUGACCAUGGCACACGAGGGAGAGAGAAGCCCGCGAGAGGCGGAGAAAUGUGGGGUCGUCCAGGAGGGUCGACAAGGCAAAGAACCUGAAGACGACCCAAAAGGGUACCUAGGUGGGGCCCUUUCAGGGACUUGGGGCAUAGGGUAGGGCGCAUGGGACGAGGUGGGUGAGCGCAAGGGACGAGAUGGGUGUGCGCAUGGGACGAGGUGGGUGGGAGCAUGAGACGAGGUGGGUGGGGCGGUGGGUGAGGUCUCCGCCCCCAGACGGGCUGGCGAGGAAGCAGGGAAGAAGUAACGUUGGGCUGGUGAGGCAACAGGUGGGGCGCACUGGAGCUGCGGGAUAAUAGGUGGAACAAACUGGGGACUACACUCGUGGGCGCACGUGCGGAAGAGGGACUGAGGAGGUUCUUGCGUGCUCCCCUCGAGCACCGCCGACAGCUUCACCCGCACCUCCUGCCUUCCGCACCGCUGACUCCUACCGCUCCGCGCACUGCGCGCCCCCAGCCCUAGUGCAGCCAGCUCCCGGCCGGGUCCGCGCGAGGGCCAGGCUGCCAACCUGCCCGCGGGCGGCUGGUGGUUGGGGAGGGCGUUGGGAGGAGGAGUCCCGCCGGGUGGACGCGCGCCCUUCAGCGGCGGAGGCGGAGGCGGCAGCGGCGAGGCCUGAGGGUGCGUGCUAGGGAGUCCUGGCGCGUCCUUCUUCUGCCGGCGUCCCCCUGCGCUUGCAGCUGCUCCCCGACGCCCGGGAGGCCCACCCGCUAGCCGCGAUGGGCGCGCAGAGCCCAAAAGGGCGACCCCCAAACAAAACUCACGCAUAUAAAUCCUCCAGAGACUUCCUCAUCCCCCCGCCAACACACACACACCCACACACACAUACACACAAUCAAAUCAAAUAGAAGCACUGUUAGGAAUUUUAUAUUGGCUAUGCAAAGUGCUUGAACGCACUGACUUUGGAGGCAAAUGCCUUGUCCCUAGUCCUGACUAGUCCAGAAUUUAUUUGCUGUGACCUAUGGCAAAUUGCUUGGUUUCUCUAAGCCUCCAUUUCCUAAGGCUUAUAUCUGAAAAUAACUAUAAGAGGAAAGGAUGCUAUUGUAUCCAACUCAGAGGGCAGUCCUGAUACUUACAUUGCGAGAACAUGUUAAGUGUUCCAUAAAUGGCAGAAGGGGCUGUGGAAGUUCAGUGAUUAUAGGUAGUUUAAUUUGUCUUAGUUUUCCUUUGUGAAAGCAUAAAUUACACCAGAGAAAGUCACAUAUGUAAGGAAUACUUUAUGCAAAGCUGUUGUCCUAGGGAAGAGAGACCAGAACUCAGUCUAAACUAACUCUGCUGAAACAAAGUGGGGCAGGGUUUUUAAGCUCUAGGAUGAGAGUAGAAAGGUGCUGGAGGGCUGUCGGAAGCAUACUGAGUUGUUUGCUGAGUUUACAAGUGUUUCCUCCGUGAUUAGGCCAGCUGUGUUUGCUAAUUGGCUCUCAGGGAAGUUAGGCUCCUACCCUCCCACAGAAACUGGGAGAUAGGGGGACCGUCUUCCUUGAUGAUUGCAUUUCAAAGGAAUGGCUCCCAGGUCCUUGACAAAGAUGAUUCUGGUUUGUAAAACUAGUAAGAGGCUAUUAAAAAGAGUUACAGAUAUCUCAAGACAGAGAAAGAAUUUACAGUGAAAAGCUUUCUAAAGAAAAUGCUCUGUAUUAAUCUGUUUUCACACUGCUGAUAAAGACAUACCCAAGACUGGGCAAUUUACAAAAGAAAGAGGUUUAUUGGACUUACAGUUCCACGUGGCUGAGGAGGCCUCACAAUCACGGCAGAAGGUGAAAGGUAUAUCUCACAUAGUGGCAGACAAGAAAGCUUGUGCAGGGAAACUCCCCAUUUGAAAACCAUCAGUUCUUAUGAGACUUACUCACUAUCAUGAGAAGAGCACGGGAACAACCCAUCCCCAUGAUUCAGUCAUCACUCACAGGGUCCCUCCCAUAACACGUGGGAAUUAUGGGAGCUACAAGAUGAGAUUUGGGUGUGGACACAGAGUCAAACCAUAUCAUGCUCUAAGAAAAGAAAGUUUUGGGCCUAGAGUCAGGAAAAAGCCUUUUCAAGUCAAGCUGAGAACUUUAAGGUGGUCUUGGCUACCUCAUUUUAUGCAAAGUAGGCAGAAAAUUUAAAAGAAAAGAAACAUAUUUAAGUACAAUUAAGAAAAUUACAGUGUUUCAGUUAAAGCAGUUCAGUGCUUUUUAGAAAAGGAGCUGAAAUUAAAUAGUAAGUAUAAAUUUAAUUCUAAUAAUUCAGGGCUAUGAACCAUGUAAUUGCUUAAUUUCCAAUAACUAUUUGUUCUUUUGCGACUACAGUUUGGCAGGUUGCCCUAAUAAUUUUCAGGCAUUUUAGGUUCAUGCUCCUUCCAACCCUCCUUUUCCCUUACAAGGGUUGCAUCCAAGUUAUGAGGGAUAAGGGUGGGGGGUGUUUCAUAUUUAGGACCAGGAUGUUGAUGUGUACUUAUUCCUGGCCAGGCUGUUUUGGAGUCAGGACUCUUGCGCUAUAAGAUCCCCCAAAUCUAUUUUGGGAAUAGUGAAAGGGAUGGGAUGAUGCUGAGGAGCCGGGCUUCGGCAUUUCCUUAUUGUGCAUUAUUUCCAAUCCGUUGUUUUACCCUGGAAAGGGUCAACUGAAAGAACUGGCCAUUGUCUUUGUAGGUAUUAAGUAUUGCUCUGUCUUCCCCGAGACCAAAAAAUAAAAGAUUGAAUGAGGGAUGGUACUGAAUUGAAAACUUAUGGUUAAUAUUCCAAAACAUUACCCACUAAAAGAGCAAGAGAAAAAAGUUAGUGGGAGAGUGUUUCAGAUGAUUCCUUCUUCACAGGUUUACCUGUUCCCCCACCUGAAGAGUUAAUUAGAAAAACAAUACAGGUACAUUACAUAAAAUUCAAACUCUAUAGACAUACAAUUUGUAAAAUGUGUAAGUCCCCCAUUUUCCACCUCCUGAGGACAUACUAUCAACAGAUCUUCUACCAUUUUUCUUUUCUGUACAUGUACUUCUUUUCUCUACAUAUAUAUUUUUCCAAACAAUGUGUUUAUAUCAUGUAUAAUAUUUUGCAGUUUACUUUUUCUACCUUAGUAGUAUAUUAUCCUCUCAUGACAGUGUAUCUAUAUCUAUCCCUUCUUUGUAACAGAGGAACAGGAUUUUAUUGAAGGUAUUGGCAUGAUUUAUGUAAUCAUUCUUUCUGUUUUCAUUUGAUCUUACUGUUUUCCAGUGUUAUCAUGAACAUCUUUCUGCCUGAAUCUUUGUUUUGCUAUGGUUUUGCUUUAUGAACUUUGUUUCUAGGUUUGUUUGCUUUUUUUUUAAAUAGCCUUUAAGACUUGGAUCUGCUGCAUAAAUUCCUUUAAAGUUUGCAGACAUGUAUUGAGUGUAUUGAUCAGCUGCACUAAGGAGUAAGCACCUGAUGUGAAGCCCCCUUCCAUGAAAAAUCCUUUAAGAAUGGCAUAGUUGUGAAGUUGGAAGGCUGUAUGAAUCACAAAUUGAUUUUACCCCAUCACCACAUCAGCCAAACACCUGCUCUGCCAUUUUGAUUAAGAUUCGUCAUGUAUUUCAUGCCAGUAAUCCCAGCACUUUGGGAAGCCAAGGCAGUUGGAUCACCUGAGGUCAGGAGUUUGAGACCAGCCUCAACAACAUGGUUAAACCCCAUCUCUACUAAAAACACAAAAAAUUAGCCAGGCGUGAUGGCACGCACCUGUAAUCCCAGCUACUUGGGAGGCUGAGGCAGGACAAUCGCUUGAACCCGGGAGGUGAAGGUUGCAGUGAGACGAGAUCGCGCCAUUGCACUCCAGCCUGGGCAACAAGAGCAAAACUCCAUCUCAAAAAAAAAAAAAAAUUAAUCAUGUAUUAAUUGAGAUUUGCAGGGCCGUGUGCUUUAUAUAAAACAAUGCACAAUGCACUAAGCUCCAUGGUGUUUGAGAGACAAAGGAGAACAAGAUACCAUCCCCACCACUGGGUAGUUUAAGAUUAUUGUCUGUAUCCAGUAUAUAGCAAUUGUAAUGAUUUCUAAAAUGUUUUUCUAUUGAGAUACAGUUUACAUGAAAUGAAGUGCUCAGAUUUUGAGUGACAGUUUGAUCAGUUUCAAAGAAUGUGCACACCUAAUCAAGACACAGAACAUUUCUGUAACACCAGAAAAUUCCCUCUUGCCCUUUCCUAAUCAAUCACAAACCCCUCCCCUAUAACCAUUGAUGUCAUUUUUGCCUAUACCUUUAUAUGAAUGGAAUCAUGCAGAAGAUACUAUUUUGGGUAUCUUACUUUGUCUUCCUUGUACCCCUUUGUGAAAUCCUCCCAUGCCUAGACCUCGACAACUGCUGGUCUGUUUUCUGCCCCUGUAGUUUUGUAUGAAUUCUUUACGUAUUCUGUUUGCCCAGGCUGGAGUGCAGUGGUGUGAUCUCAGCUCACUGCAACCUCUGCCUCCCAGGUUCAAGCAAUCCUCCCACCCCAGCCUCCUGAGUAGCUAAGGUUACAGGCAUGUGCCACCACACCUGGCUAAUUUUUUUUGUAUUUUUUAUCAGAUAUGUAUUGUGAAUAAAUACCUAUUGUGAAUAAAAUUCUUUAUUAGAUAUGUAUUAUGAAUAUUUUCUUUCUCCACUUGCAUUUCUGUUUCCUUAGCAGUAUCUUUACAAGAGUACAUUUUUUUUUUUGUAUUUUAAUGGAGUUUAAUUUACCAAUUUUUCCUUUAUGGCUCAUACCUUGGGUAUGCAAAGUAAGAAAUCCCUACCCCCUUGAAGGUAACAGAGAUUUUCUCCUAAGUUUCUUCAUUUUAUUCAUUCCUCCUGUUUUCUUUUAAAUUUGUACUUUUAGCUUCCUUCAUUUAGGUCUGUGACCCAUCUCGAGUUAAUUUCUUGUUCCUAGUAUGAGGUAAAGUUGGUGCUAUUGUUUUUCCCCCAUAAGGAUAUUCAGUUAUUCCAGCACUGUUUUUUUUAAAGACUUCUCUUUGUUCCCUUGGUACUUUUGUGGGAAAAAAAAAUUGACCAUCUUAGUGUGGGUCUAUUUCUGGACUCCGUUCAGUUUCAUUGAUGUAUGUAUCUGUGUCUUCACCAAUACCACACAGUUUUAAUUACAGUAAUUUUAUAUAUCUUGAAAUCAGAUAGUAUAAGACCUCUAGUUUUGUUCUUUUCUAAAGUUGUUUUUGACUAUUCCAGCACUAGAAUUUCUACACAGUUGCUUAUUGGAACUUUGAUGGGAUUGUAUUUAUUUUCAUAAAGGCUCACCUACAAUGUGUUGUAAAGCUUCUGAAAGUAAGUAAUGACUUGUCAGUUUUAAUUGACACUAUGGUUAUGAGUGAAUAUGAGGAUCUUUUGUUAUGUUUGAGGACUAUUUUUCUUUGAACUGUUUUUUUUUUUCAUUUUUCAAAUUUUUUUUAUUAUACUUUGAGUUCUGGGGUACAUGUACAGAACGUGCAGUUUUGUUACAUAGGUAUACACGUGCCAUGGUGGUUUGCUGCACCCAUCAACCCAUCACUACAUUAGGUAUUUCUCCUAAUGCUGUCCCUCCCCUAGCCCUCCACCCACCGACAGGCUCCAGUGUGUGAUGCUGCCCUCCCUGCGUCCAUGUGUUCUCACUGUUCAACUCCCAUUUAUGAGUGAGAACAUGGGGUGUUUGGUUUUCUGUUCUUGUGUUAGUUUGCUUAGAAUGAUGGCUUCCAGCUUCAUCCAUGUCCCUGCAAAGAACAUGAACUCAUCCUUUUUAUGGCUGCAUAGUAUUCCAUGGUGCAUAUAUGCCACACUUUCUUUAUCCAGUCUGUCAUUGGUGUACACUUAGGUUGGUUCCAAGUCUUUGCUAUUGUGAAUAGUGCAAUUCACGUACGUGUGCACGUAUCUUUAUAGUAGAAUGAUUUAUAAUCCUUUGGGUAUACACCCAGUAAUGGGAUUGCUGGGUCAAAUGGUAUUUCUAGUUCUAGAUCCUUCAGGAAUCACCACACUGUCUUCUACAAUGGUUGAACUAAUUUAUACUUCCACCAACAGUGUAAAAGCAUUCCUAUUUCUCCACAUCCUCUCCAGCAUCUGUUGUUUCCUGGCUUUUUAAUGAUCACCAUUCUAACUGGCAUAAGAUGGUAUCUCAUUGUGGCUUUGAUUUGCAUUUCUCUAAUGACCAGUGAUGAUGAGCUUUUUUCCAUAUGUUUGUUGGCUGCAUAAAUGUCUUCUUUUGAGAAGUGUCUGUUCAUAUCUAUCACCCACUUUUUGAUGGGGAGAACAUUUUUGCAAUCCAUCUGACAAAGGGCUAAUAUCCAGAAUCUACAAAUAAAUUAAACAAAUUUUUUUUUCAUUUUUCUAAUGGUUAUCCCUCCCCCUUCAAUUUAUAGACCUCUUCAUAUAUAUAUAUGUAUAUAUAUGUGUGUAUAUAUACAUAUAUGUGUAUAUAUGUGUGUAUAUAUACAUAUAUGUGUAUAUAUAUACGUAUAUAUAUAUAUAUGUGUAUAUAUAUACGUAUAUAUAUGUGUAUAUAUAUGUAUAUAUAUAUGUGUAUAUAUAUAUAUGAGAGAUUAGCCCUUUAUCUGUGAUACAAGUUAUUUUCUCCCAGUUUGUUAUUUAUCUUUUGGCUUUGUGUUGACAUUUACUUCAUAAAACAUAUUUGUAAGUACUAUGUUAUCAGACUUAUCUUGAUACUAGAUUUUGAUUCAUGGAGACUUUUCCCACUCCCACAUUUUAUAUUUUUCCAAAUGACUAUCCAUUUGUUACAACACCAUUUACUAUAAAGUAGAAUUUUUUCCCAGUUAGUUGGGAUGUUACCUAUAUAAUAAACUAAAUUUCUAUAUGUAUUUUGGUUUAUUUCUAGACUUUCUAUUCUGUUCCAUUUGGCUGUCUUUCAAUUUACGUACCAGUACAACACAUUUUUAACUACAGAGACUUUAUAGUAUGUUUUAAUAUUUGGUAGAGCUAGUUGCACAGCUUUUCCUAUACGUUGUCUUCUAGUAGUUUUAUAGUUUCAGGUAUUACAUUUAAGAAUUUAAUCCGAAUGGCCAGGCGUGGUGGCUCACGCCUGUAAUCCCAGCACUUUGGGAGGCCGAGGCAGGCAGAUUACGAGGUCAGGAGAUCGAGACCAUCCUGGCUAACACAGUGAAACCCUGUCUCUACUAAAAAUACAAAAAAUUAGCCAGGCCCACGUGGUGGUGGGUGCCUGUAGUCCCAGCUACUCGGGAGGCUGAGGCAGGAGAAUGGCAUGAACCUGGGAGGCAGAGCUUGCAGUGAGCGGAGAUCAUGCCACCGCACUCCAGCCUGGGCGACAGAGUGAGACUCUGUCUCAAAAAAAAGAAAAGGAAAAAAAAAAAGAAUUUAAUCCAUUUUGAGUUGAUUUUGUACAUGGUAUAAGAGUCUAAUUUCAUUCUUUUGCAUGUAUAAUCCACAUUUCUAAACUCCAUUUAUUAAAGACACUAUCUUUUCUCCCAUUGUGUGUUCUUGGCAUCUUUGUCAAAAAUCCAUUAAUUGGUGGUAAAUGUGUGAGUUUAUUUUGGGGCUAUCUAUUGUCUUCCUUUGGUCUAUGUGUCUGUUUUUAUAGCAGUACCAUGCUGUUUUGAUUACUGUAGAUUUGUAAUAUAUUUUGAAGUCAGGAAGUAUGAUGCCUCCAUUUUGUUCAUUUUCCUCAAAAAUGUUUUAGAUAUUUGGGGUUUUGUGGUACAAUAAAAAUUUUAUGACUUUUAAUCUAUUUCUUUGAAAAGUGUCAUUGGGAUUUUGAUAGGGAUUGCAUUCAAUCUGUAGAUCACUUUUGGUAGUAUGGACAUUUUAACAAUAUUGUUUCAAUCCAUGAACAUGGAAUAUCUUUCUUUUUAUUUGUGUCUUCAAGUUCUUUCAUCAAUGUUUUAUGAUUUUCAAUAUACAGCUCUUUCACUUCCUUGGCUAUAUUUGUUCAUAAGUAUUUUUCAUAGCUAUCGUAAAUACAGUUGCCUUUUUUAUUUCACUUCAGAUGGUUUAAUGCUAAUGUAUAGAAACUUUUUUUUUUUUUUUUUUGAGACAGUUUCGCUUUUGUUUCCCAGGCUGGAGUGCAAUGGCGAAAUCUCGGCUCACUGCAACCUCCGCCUCCCAGAUUCAAGUGAUUCUCCUGUCUCAGUCCCCCAAGUAGCUGGGAUUACAGAUGUGUGCUACCAUGCCUGGCUAACUUUGUAUUUUUAGUAGAGAUGGGGUUUCACCAUGUUGGUCAGGCUGGUCUUGAACUUCUGACUUCAAGUGAGCCAAUUGCUUCAGCCUCCCAAAGUGCUGAGAUUACAGGUGUGAGCCACCAUGCCCGGCUGAAACUAUUAUUUUUGUAUGUUGACUUUAUAUCCUGUAACUUUAUUGUAUUUUAUUAGUUCUAGCAGUGUUUUCACUGACAUUUUAGGGUUUUCAUGUUAUCUGCAAACAGGAACCAUUUGGCUUCUUCUUUUCCAAUUUGGAUGGCUUCUCUUUCUUUUUUUGCCUGAUUGCUCUGGCUAGGUCUUCCAUUACUAUAUUGAAUAGGAGUCGUAAGAGUGGACAUCUUUGUACCUUUCCUGAGAUACUUUUGGAAAAAGCUUUCUAUUUUUUACUCUUGUGUAUGAUAUUAAUGGUGAGCUUGUCAUAUAUAGUCUUUAUUGUGUUGAGUUACAUUCCUUCAGUGCCUAAUAUGGUUAGAGUUUUUAUCAUGAAAGGAUAUUGAAUUUUGUCAAAUGCUUCUUCUGCAUCUGUUGAGAUAAUAUAUGGUCUUUGUCCUUUAUUCUGUUAAUGUGGUGUAUUAAUAUUUACUUGCAUAUGUUGAACCAUCCUUGGAUCUCAAAGAUAAGUCUCACUUUAUUGUGGUGAGUGAAUGAUCCUUUUAAUAUGCUGUUGAAUUCAGUUUGCUAGUAUUUUGUUGAGGAUUUUUGCAUCUAUGUUCAUCAGGGAUAUUAGCCUGUAAUUUUUUUUUUUUUUUUGAGAUGGAGUCUCACUCUGUUGCCCAGGCUGGAGCGCAGUGGCAUGAUAUCAGCUUACUGCAACCUCUGCCGCCUCCCACGUUCAAACAAUUCUCUUGCCUCAGCCUCCCGAGUAGCUGGGAUCACAGGCAUGUGCUACCAUGCUCAGCUAAUUUUUGUAUUUUUAGUAGAGAUGGGGUUUCACCACGUUGGCCAGGCUGGUCUCAGACUCCUGCCCUGCUCAUCUCGGCCUCCCAAAGUGCUGGGAUUACAGUCAUGAGCCACCGUGCCUGGCCAGCCUGUAAUUUUCUUGUAUGUCCUUGUCUGGCUUUGGUGUCACGAUAGUGCUGGCUUCAUAAGAUGUGUUUGGAAAUAUUUUUUCUUCAACUUUUUGGAGUUUGAUAAGGAUUGGUCCUAUUUCUUAUUUAAAUGUUUUGUAGAAUUCAGCCCAGAAGCCAUCUGAUUCUAGGCUUUUCUUUAAUGGGAGACUUUUUAUUACUGAUUCAAUCUUUUUUUUUAAUCAGUCUAUUUGUUAUCAGUCUGUUGUCAGUCUAUUUUAUCAGUCUGUUAUCAGUCUGUUCAGAUUUUCUUUUUCUUUGUGAUUAAUACUUGGUAGGAUUAAUACAGGUAGGAAUUUUUUCAUUUCUUCUAGGUUAUCUAAUUUGUUGACAUAAUUGUCAUCAUAGUCUCUAAUGAUAAUUUGUAUGUCUGUAGUAUCCAUUAUAAUGUUUCCUUUUUUAUUUCUGAUUUUACUUGAAUCUCCUCUCCUUUUUUAUUAGUUAUUCUAGCUAAAAGUUUGUCUGUUUUAUCUUUUUCACAAGUUUUGUUGAUUUUUUUUCUAUUGUUUCUUUAGUCUCUAUUUCAUUUAUUUCUGCUCUGAUCUUUAUUUUAUCCUUCCUUCUGUGAACUUUGUGCUUAGUUUGUCCUUGUUUUCCUAGUUCCUGGUUUUCUAGUUUCCAAUUGUAGUUCCUAUACCUAGUUUCUAGUUAUAAUGUUAGGGUGUUUGAGAUCUUUCUUCUUUUUUGAUGUAGAUGUUUAUUGCUAUAAACUUCACUCUUAGAACCAUUUUUGCUGUAUACUAUAUAUCUUAUAUAUUUUUGUAUGUUGUGUUUCCGUCUUCAUUUGCCUCAAGAUAUUUUUAAAUGAUCCCUUUAAUUUCUACAUUGACCCAUUGGUUGUUUGGGAGAAUGUUGUUUAAUUACCAUAUGCGUCUGCAUUUUCUGAAAUUCUGUCUAUUUUUGAUUGUUAGUAUAAUACCAUUGUGGCCGGAAAAGGUAUUUGAAAUGGAUUUCAGGCUUCAUAAAUUUAUUAAGAUUUAUCUUGUGGCCUAACAUAUGAACUCUCCUGGAGAACGUUCUGUGUGUGCUUGAGAAGAAUGUGUACAAUUGACCCCCCCAUAUCUGUGUGUUCUACAUCCACAGAUUCAACUCUGGGCCAAAAAUAGUAAAAAAAUAAUAAUAUGAUAAUAAUGCAAAUAAAAAGCAAUACAGUGUAACAAAUAUUUAUAUAGAUUUUAUAUUAGGUACUAUGAGUAUCUAGAGAAAAUCUGAGGCAUAAGGAGUAUGUGUGUAGAUUAUAUGCAAAUACUACACCAUUUUAUAUAAGACAUUGAGCAUCCAUGGAUUUUGCUAUCCUCAGGGGUCUAGAACUAGGCAUUAGCAUUGUGCCUAGUUGGGGCUUACCUGUAGCCUGUGUCCACUGGUGCCAGCCUGGAGGCUGGGUGUAUGGUUGCUAGUCCAGAAGCUAGGUCUGUGAAGAACUGAGUCCUGGAGCCAUGGUAGUGUCCCCAGAAUUGGUGGGUUCUUGGUCUCACUGACUUCAAGAAUGAACCCACGGACCCUCGCGGUGAGUGUUACAGCUCUUAAGGUGGCGCGUCUGGAGUCUGUCCUUUCUGAUGUUCAGAUGUGUUCGGAGUUUCUUCCUUCUGGUGGGUUCGUGGUCUCGCUGGCUCAGGAGUGAAGCUGCAGACCUUCGCAGUGAGUGUUACAGCUCUUAAGGCAGCGCGUCUGGAGUUGUUCGUUCCUCCCGGUGGGUUCGUGGUCUCGCUGGGCUCAGGAGUGAACCUGCAGAUCUUCGCGGUGAGUGUUACGGCUCAUAAAAGCAGCGUGGACCCAACGAGUGAGCAGUAGCAAGAUUUAUUGCAAAGAGCGAAAGAACAAAGCUUUCACAGUGUGGAAGGGGACCCGGGCGGGUUGCCAAUGCUGGCUAGGGCAGCCUGCUUUUAUUCUCUUAUCUGGCCCCACCUACAUCCUGCUGAUUGGUAGAGCUGAGUGGCCUGUUUUGUCAGGGCGCUGAUUGGUGCGUUUACAAUCCCUGAGCUAGAUACAAAGGUUCUCCACGUCCCCAUCAGAUUAGUUAGAUACAGAGUUUCGAUUGGUGCACUCACAAACCUUGAGCUAAACACAGGGUGCUGAUUGGUGUGUUUACAAACCUUGAGCUAGAUACAGAGUGCUGAUUGGUGUAUUUACAAUCCUUGAGCUAGACAUAAAGGUUCUCCAAGGCCCCACCAGAGCAGCUAGAUACAGAGUGUUGAUUGGUGCACUCACAAACCUUGAGCUAAACACAGGGUGCUGAUUGGUGUAUUUACAAUCCCUGAGCUAGAUAUAAAGACUCUCCACAUCCCCACCAGACUCAGGAGCCCAGCUGGCUUCACCUAGUGGAUCCCGCACCAGGGCUGCAGGUGGAGCUGCCUGCCAGUCCCGCGCCGUGUGCUCGCAUUCCUCAGCCCUUGGGUGGUCGAUGGGACUGGGUGCCAUGGAGCAGGGGGUGAUGCUCGUGGGGGAGGCUCGGGCUGCACAGGAGCCCAUGGAGUGGGUGGGAGGCUCAGGCAUGGCGGGCUGCAGGUCCCAAGCCCUGCCCCGCGGUAAGGCAGCUAAGGCUCGGUGAGAAAUGGAGUGCAGCACCGGUGGGCUGGCACUGCCGGGGGACCCAGUACAUCCUCUGCAGCCACUGGCCUGGGUGCUAAGUCCCUCACUGCCCGGGGCCAGCAGGGCUGGCUGGCUGCUCCGAGUGCGGGGCCCGCCAAGUCCACGCCCACCCGGAACUCCAGCUGGCCCACAAGCGCCGCAGGCAGCCUCGGUUCCCGCUCGCGCCUCUCCCUCCACACCUCCCUGCAAGCUGAGGGAGUGGGCUCCAGCCUUGGCCAGCCCAGAAAUGGGCUACCACAGUGCAGCGGCGGGCCAAAGGGCUCCUCAAGUGCCGCCAAAGUGGGAGCCCAGGCAGAGGAGGCGCCGAGAGCGAGUGAGGGCUGUGAGGACUGCCAGCACGCUGUCACCUCUCAUUAGGACCUGGGUUCACAAGGCUUGGCACAGGGAAGGCCUGGGCCCUGUGUUUGCAGGUGCCUGCCAGGUGUUUGAGCCCAGGUGUGCCAUCCUUGUUCUAGGAUGGGGCUGAAGCCCAGGGCCACUGGGGCCUGCCUAGUGCUUGGGUCAGCCUACUGCAGGGGCAGGACCAGAGACCAAGUCCACCAGGCUGGGCUGGAACCUGGGACUGCAGAAUCUGGCCUGACAUUAGUAUGGGCUUGGAGGCUCAGUUUGCUGAUACUAGCCUGGCAAUGGGUAAGCCUGGAGCCUGUAUCCAUAGGGGCCAGCCUGGCAGCUGGGUCUACCAGGUAGGCCCAGAACCUGGAGCUGUGAGAUCUAGCCUGGUGCUAGGGCAGACGUGAAGGCUCAGUCCCCGACUUAUUUUCUUGAUGUUAGGUUAGAUUUUGAUGGGCAGAAAUUUUAGAUUUUGAUAAAGCCCCUUUUUUAUGGUUUGUGUCCUUAGUAUCCAUUUUAAGAAAUCGCUGCCUACCCCAAGGUCAGAAAGAUAUUCUGUAGUAAUAGUAGAGAUUUUAAAGUAUCUUAUGUUCAUCUUAUGUCAUAUUCAGAAAAAUUGCUUGUAGGAGUAGUUGACUAUAGCAUUUUGUUAUUUUUUUCCAGAGAGGAUUCAUUUUUUAUACUAGGCAGCUGUCAGUACUUGCAAUCUUGGGAGCGCCCUCAUCCAGUAUCAAGGAUUGAGAUAAUUUGAAGCCGGGAUUUGUAGAAGCUAAAAGGAUUGAGAUUAUUUGCAGUCCCAGGGAAGGUCAAUCUCCUUUAGGUUUCUCCUUACUUAUAAAGUCAAGUCCUAAUCUAAUCCCUUCCAUUCUUGGCUCUGAAUUCCAGCUCUCUUUCUCGUAGCCCCAAGAAUUUAAGUCAGAUAUUCAUGGUCACAUAGUUGUGAAAUCCCACAUGGUAGUGGUACGAUUUCAACCUAGGCAGUCUAACUUCAGAUCCUGGGUUAUUAAAAGGAACCUUCCACGUCACCCCUACCAUGAGGGAUGAGUUUCAUUUGUUUUGUUUCCCAUUGUACACCCACACCUCACAUGACAUGUAGUAGGUAUUCAGAAAAUAUUCAAUAUAAGAAUGAACCUUCUCUUGGUCCAUUUGGGAUACUAUAGCAAGAUACCACAGACUAUGUGGCUUAAAAACAGUAGUUUAUUGCUUACAGUUCUGAUGGCUGUGAAGUCCAAGAUCAAGGUGGCAGCACAUUCCUUGUCUAGUGAGGACCCCUUUCCUGGUUGGCCUGUCUUUUCUUUGUGUCCUCACAUGGUGGAAGGAAUGAGGGAUCUCUGUGGGGACUCUUUUAUAAGGGAACUCAUCCCAUUCUAAUACCUCUCUAAAUCCCCACUUCAUUUUUAUUUUUAUUUAUUUAAUUUUUUGAGAUAGAGUUUCACUCGUUGCCCAGAUAGAGUUUCACUCUUGUUGCCCAGGCUGGAGUGCAAUGGCGCAAUCUCAGCACACUGCAACCUCUGCCUCCCUGGUUCAAGUGAUUCUCCUGCUUCGAUUCUCCUGCCUCAGCCUCCCGAAUAGCUGGGAUUACAGGUGUCCACUACCAGGCCCGGCUAAUGUUUUGUAUUUUUAGUAGAGACAGGGUUUCACCAUGUUGGCCAGGCUGGUCCAAACUCCUGACCUCAGGUGAUCCACCCGCCUCGGCCUCCCAAAGUGUUGGGAUUACAGGCAUGAGCCACUGUGCCUGGCCCCUAAAUCCCCACUUCAAAAUACCUUAACCUUGGGUGUUAGGAUUUAACAUAUGAAGUCAGAGGAACAUAAACAUUCAGUUCAUUGCAAAUCUGUUCCCCUUAGCAAUACUAUUAAUGGUAGUUACUUCCAAUCUGAUAGAUUAUUGAAUAGCAUUUUGGGCUUAUAGUUGUGCUGUGAUUUUCUAUACUGUUUUGUUGCUUUGCCAUUGGUGGUGACUUACUUGUUUUUUGUUGUUUUUAAAUUAGUAUUUCCAUGGGGAUUGGGAAAGCUACUGGCAAGAUUUACCUGGAAACUUGCAUCAACAACUUACUGAUCUUUGUUUUGUGGUUGGUAUUUUAUUCAUAUUAGAAGCUCCAUAAAUGUUGACUAAAUUAAAAAUGUAGGUUGGGAGGCUGAGGCGGGCGGAUCACUUGAGGUCAGCAGUUCGAGACCAGCCAGGCAAACGUGGUGAAACCCCAUCUCUACUAAAAAUACAACAAUUAGCCGGGCAUGGUGGCAGACGCCUGUAAUCCCAGCUAUUCAGGCGGCUGAGGCAGAAGAAUCACUUGAACCCGGGAGGAAGAGGUUGCAGCGAGCUGAGACUGCACCACUGCAGCGUGGGUGACAGAGUGAGACUCUGUCUCAAAAAAAAAAAUAGGGAUAAACAACUGCUCAAAUAUUUUAAAUCUGUAUAUUUCUUAUUUUAAAUAUUAAAUAUUUCUUGUCUUUAAAGCUUGAUUAUAAAAUUAAGUAAUUUAAAUUUAAGUGAUGUGCUUGUCUAAAAUUUACACAUCAUUAGAUAAUCUUUUCUUUUUAAAAAAUAUUUACUCCCUCCAUAGAGUUGAACUUCCUCUCUUUUUAGAAGAAUGGAUUUCUCGGAGUCUGAAAAAUUUAUGGUUCUUCUCUGGAAGAAUUUUAUUUUAAAGAGGCGGCGAUGUAUUGCUUUAGUUGUGGAAAUGGUCCUCACAUUUCUGUUUAGUGCUGCGCUUUUGGCAACACGCUCUGUUAUUACUAUAAAUAAGAACGGACCUUUCGAUUUUGCUGCUCAGCCUGUCGAUGAAGUGCCUUUCUACAUCACAGCUUCCUUAAUUUCUCCUUCUCCUUUGGAAUUGGCUUACGUGCCUUCCAGAAGUACUGUGGUUCAGGGUAUUAUUGAAAGAGUGAAAAUGGAUUUAAACCCUCAAAUGAAAGGUUAGAAAUUAACAUUUUCUGAAAAAACAUACAGAAUUACUAAAUCGAUUUAGUGAAGACAUACUUACAACCUUAUUAACUGGUUCUUAACCUCCCAAGUAAAACAUCGUUGGAAUCCUCAUACUAAGUAUAAAUAUUAUGGACUUUGUUAAACUUGAAAGUUAAAUUUAUAUAAAAUAUUUUGUUCAUAGAGCCCAGAACAAAUAGUAAUAUUUCAAAAUGAGAUGACCAAUUAUUAUUAUUAUUCUAAGUUGUUAUCCAGUUUUGUGAUACUGUUUUUUCUAUCUGGUUGUGCUUCUUGAACCUGGGUAAGUAUACCUCCAGGGGUGUGUGAUUUUGUGCCACAGGUCAGUGGUCAGUUAUUUAAAAUAAUGUUUUAUAUUAAAAUGUGGUGUGAGUAAUAUAGGAAGGCUUUAGAAAACACUUAAGCUAUGUAGAAUUAUUUUAAAAGCCCUCAGUCUCUCACUUACCUUCAUAUUCCCGGAUCAGUUUCUUACCUCUUUCUCUUAGAGGUAAAUACUGUGAGAAGUUUAGGUCGGCCGGGCCCAGUGGCUCACGCCUGUAAUCCCAGCAUUUUGGGAGGCUGAGGUGGGCAGAUCACCUGAGGUCAGGAGUUCAAGACCAGCCUGGCCAACAUGGCAAAACCCCAUCUCUACUAAAAAUAUAAGAAUUAGCCAGACAUGGUGGUAUGCACCUAUAGUCCCAGCUACUUGGGAGGCUGAGGCAUGCGAAUUGCUUGAACCCAGGAGGAGGAGGAGGUUGCAGUGAGGUGAAAUUGCACCACUGCACUCCAGCCUGGGUGACAGACCAAGACUCUGUCUCAAAAAAAAAAAAAAAAAAGUUUGUGGGCAUCUCCCUAGCACACCUCUCUCUACACAUGUGCGUGCAUGUGCACACACACACACACACACACACACACACACAGUCAGGCAACUUUUCCAUCUUUUUUUGUCUUUCAAGAGAUAUGAGAGUCCUUGAGAGUAGAUGCCAUCUCAAAGCAUUCUUUUUUGUUGUUUGCUUUUUUUUAUCAAAGCAUUCUUUAAAAUAAAGACUGAAACAGGAGAAUAUGAAGUUCCCAGUAAUUUUUAAAUUCUACAACAAAAAUAUCUCAACAAAUUUAAAGUCUAUUAUGGGUUACUCCAAUAGUCGCUUUGGGUUACUCAAAAUAUUUUCUGAUUUCCACUCUGAUGUCUUCUUUGAUGCAUGGAAUUUCAAAAUUUUUAGAAAUGUGUUGCUGAACUUCCAAACACUGGGGGCUUCUUAUCUUUCUGUUGUUGAUUUCUGUUUUAAUUUCCUUUCAUCAGAGAGUAUACUCAAUUCCAGUUCUUUGACAUUUUGAGAACUGUUUAUGACUAGUACAUGGUAUAUUUUGAUAAAUGUUUUCUGUGAAUUUGUAAAAACUAUGUGUGCUAUAGGUUUUGCUUCUGGUGUUCUAUAAAUGCCACCUGGGCAAAGUUGGCUAAGUGUCAUGCUUUUCAAGUCAUCUGUAUUCUUUUUUUUUUUUUUUGGUCUGCUUAUUAUAUCAGUCAUUGAAAGAAGUACCUGAAAUAAUACCUGAUUUCCAGUCAGGUAUUAUUAGGAUUAAAUAGGUUAUAUAUUGUAUAUAUUAAUUUUUUUUUUCUUGAGACGGAGUCUCGCUCUGUCACCAGGCUGGAGUGCAGUGGCGCGAUCUCGGCUCACUGCAACCUCCCACCUCCCAGGUUCAAGCGAUUCCCCUGCCUCAGCCUCCCAAGUAGCUGGGACUACAGGCGCCUGCCACCACGCCUGGCUAAUUGUUUGUAUUUUUAGUAGAGACCAUGUUGGCUAGGAUGGUCUGGAUCUCUUGACCUUGUGAUCUACCCCCUCAGCCUCCCAAAGUGCUGGGAUUACAGGUAUGAGCCACCGUGCCCAGCCUGUAUAUAUUAAAAUUUAUACAUUUUUAAGAUAUUAAAAUUUCCAACUGAGAUUUAGCUAUUUUUCUUUUUGCUUAUUUAUUUUGAAUUACAGUUCAUGUGAUCCUUCCAUUGAAUAAUUUUAAAAACAAUAUUUUUCAGUUCUGGAAUUUCCAUUUAUCUCUAUUUUGAAUAGGUUCCAGGUCUCUUGGAAAAUGUACCAUUUUUGAGUUUAUUAACCAUAUCAACCAUAGUUACUUUAAAGUCUCUGCCAGGAAGUUCUGGUAUCUGGAUUACUUGUUUAUCUUUUUUUUUUUCUUUUAUGCCAUUGAGUUCUAUUUUGUAACAUGCCUUGUAUAUUUUUAUCAAAUCCAAGAUGUUGCAGAUGAAAAAUUUUGAAGGCUCUUGGGGAUAUUUCUUUAUCCAAAGAGGGUUAAAUUUUCUUUUGGAUCAUUAUUAGAGUACUGGUAACUCCCUCUGCCCCCACUGAAGGCUGGUUUUAGCUUCACUAAAGACUGCCCUAUUUCUGUUUUCUCUUUACUUCUGGGCAUAAUCCUGGUCCUAGUGCGUGAUUGAUCCUUACUCCUAAGGCAUGACCAUUCCAUGAUUUCAACUGAAAGUCGGGGGUUCAAGAAGGCUCCUUACCUGUGGGGCUUGAACUCCAUCCUCUGUCUCCCCAGCCUGGUGCUGCUGCUGAAAUCACUGCUCAGCAUUUUUGCCCUCCAGCCACUGUCAUCUACCUGCCUGUACUCACUUGGAAGACUAGAAGUUCAUACCCAGGCUUUCGCCCCUCUUCCUGGGUACACAUAGUUAAUUAAGGCAGCUGACAGUCAAAGAUGAAUACCCGGGGCGGAUGCAGUGGUUCACACCUGUAAUCCCAGCACUUUGGGAGGCAGAGGCGGGAGUUCACAAGGUCGGGAGAUCGAGACCAUCCUGGCUAACAUGAUGAAACCCCCAUCUCUACUAAAAAUACAAAAAAUUAGCCAGGUGUGGUGGCAGGUGCCUGUAGUCCCAGCUACUCGGGAGACUGAGGCAGGAGAAUCGCUUGAACCCAGGAGGCAGAGGUUGCAGUGAGCUGAGAUCGCAACACUACACUCCAGUCUGGGUGACAGAGCAAGACUCAAUCUCAAAAAAAAAAAAAAAAAAAAGAGAGAAAUAAAAAGAUGAAUACCCAGGGAAAACAUUUUAGAUAUCUGAUGAGACCAGGAACAAUGAAAGGAAGAAAGAAAAUGGAACCUCCUAUACCAGGAGAAGCAGAACUAGUGUAACUACUGGAGGGGUGAGGAGAAGAGCUGCCCAGGCAUCUGGAGUUUCAGCUGGGGUUCAGCUCUGCCCCAUCACCCCAGGCUGAGGCAUUGCUUUCUUAUGCAUGACCAUUAUGGAAAGAACAACUAUCCCCAGUCUAGGCUUUCAGGACAUGGUUACAUGUUUAUGUGUGUUUAAUGCUCUCCUUAUUGGGGCUAAGCAAGUUGGGUAUAUAUUGGAAUGAAAAAAGUUGAAAGUUAGAUUCUUUUAGGGUUGGGUUUUUUGUUUGUUUUGUUUUGGCCAGGUCACUAGGAUUGAAGGUGGGAGAGACAAAUGAAUUGAAGAAUUGGAAGAGUUAUUGAAGACAUAGGUCCUGGAAUCUAAAUUGGAAAGGAAACGAAGUUAGGAAAAGAAUGAUUUUAGAUGUCAAGUGAUGGGAAUGUAAAAUGGCUCUUGAUCAAAGACCUCUGAAGCUUCACAUCAUAUAACCAGUGCAUCACCAGCUCCAUACAUCAAUAUCGCUCUACAGCAGUUUCUCUAGGACAAUGGUCCCCAACCUUUUUGGCACCAAGGACCAGUUGCAUAGAAG
RNAcentral lists this long non-coding RNA (19057 nucleotides) under Homo sapiens (human). RNAcentral's name for it is "non-protein coding lnc-ANKS4B-5:7". The record is from RNAcentral. Lineage: Eukaryota; Metazoa; Chordata; Mammalia; Primates; Hominidae.